AUUGAACGCUGGCGGCAGGCCUAACACAUGCAAGUCGAACGAGUGGCGGACGGGUGAGUAAUGUCUGGGAAACUGCCCGAUGGAGGGGGAUAACUACUGGAAACGGUAGCUAAUACCGCAUACCAUCAGAUGUGCCCAGAUGGGAUUAGCUAGUUGGUGGGGUAACGGCUCACCAAGGCGACGAUCCCUAGCUGGUCUGAGAGGAUGACAAACCACACUGGAACUGAGACACGGUCCAGGCUCCUACGGGGGGCAGCAGUGGGGAAUAUUGCGCAAUGGGCGCAAGCCUGAUGCAGCCAUGCCGCUUGUAUGAAGAAGGCCUUCGGGUUUUAAAGUACUUUCAGCGAGGAGGCGUUACCCGCAGAAGAAGCACCGGCUAACUCCGUGCCAGCAGCCGCGGUAAUUC
Molecule: ribosomal RNA, 406 nt
Filed under: uncultured bacterium
Lineage: Bacteria
Description: partial 16S ribosomal RNA
Rfam family: Bacterial small subunit ribosomal RNA
Source: RNAcentral